This 401-nucleotide RNase P RNA is filed under the name Croceibacterium mercuriale. Its description in RNAcentral is "Porphyrobacter mercurialis Bacterial RNase P class A". It matches the Rfam family "Bacterial RNase P class A". Rfam says of the family: Ribonuclease P (RNase P) is a ubiquitous endoribonuclease, found in archaea, bacteria and eukarya as well as chloroplasts and mitochondria. Its best characterised activity is the generation of mature 5'-ends of tRNAs by cleaving the 5'-leader elements of precursor-tRNAs. The record is from Rfam by way of RNAcentral. Lineage: Bacteria; Pseudomonadati; Pseudomonadota; Alphaproteobacteria; Sphingomonadales; Erythrobacteraceae.
CCAGGGGGCUGGGCAGCCGCGGCGCUGAUGCGUCGAGGAAAGUCCGGGCUCCACGAAACAAGGGUGGCGGGUAACGCCCGCCCGCGCCGGGCAACCGGCGUGAGGGACAGUGCCACAGAGAGCAGACCGCCGAUGGGGUGACCGCCUCGUGCGGGCAUCAACAGGCAAGGGUGAAAGGGUGCGGCAAGAGCGCACCGGGGUUCCGGCAACGGCGCCCGCGACGGCAAACCCCACCCGGAGCAAGACCGAAUAGGGGUCUCGCACCUGCUUGCAGGCAGGGGUGUUUCGCCCCGAGAGACCCGGGUUGGUUGCUAGAGCGCGCCGGGCAACCGGCCGCCCAGAUGAAUGGCUGCCCCUCGCGUCUGCGAGGACAGAACCCGGCUUACAGGCCCCCUGGCACC